GUAGGAGGCAAGCGUUGUCCGGAAUUAUUGGGCGUAAAGCGCGCGCAGGUGGUUCUUUAAGUCUGAUGUGAAAGCCCCCGGGCUCAACCGGGGAGGGUCAUUGGAAACUGGGGAACUUGAGUGCAGGAGAGGAAAGUGGAAUUCCACGUGUAGCGGUGAAAUGCGUAGAUAUGUGGAGGAACACCAGUGGCGAAGGCGACUUUCUGGCCUGUAACUGACACUGAGGCGCGAAAGCGUGGGGAGCAAACAGGAUUAGAUACCCUGGUAGUCCACGCCGUAAACGAUGAGUGCUAAGUGUUGGGGGGUUUCCGCCCCUCAGUGCUGCAGCUAACGCAUUAAGCACUCCGCCUGGGGAGUACGGUCGCAAAGACUG
Molecule: ribosomal RNA, 373 nt
Filed under: uncultured organism
Description: partial 16S ribosomal RNA
Rfam family: Bacterial small subunit ribosomal RNA
Source: RNAcentral